This 2119-nucleotide long non-coding RNA is filed under the name Citrus x clementina. RNAcentral describes it as "Citrus clementina (C. clementina) long non-coding RNA (CCLE_LNC001830)". The record is from RNAcentral. Lineage: Eukaryota; Viridiplantae; Streptophyta; Magnoliopsida; Sapindales; Rutaceae.
AGCAAACUAUGGUUAAUUAAAUGGUUCGCUAAAUUUGAAUUCAAAGCCUCAGAGUGAAUCAAAUUGAUGCAAUGAAUUUUAAUUUAAAGAAUCAAUUAAUUUGAAAUUGAUUUCCUAUGAGUUAAUUUAAAAUUAAAGAAUUACAAUGUUAGUUGAAGCACUAUAAACAAGACUUUGAUUUCACUUCCUUAGCAAAAAAAAGAAGAAGAAAUCAUUCUUUGAUAUUUAAAAGAAUUUUCUUUGUUACGUUCUCUCUACAAUCAUACAAUUUCAAAUAAAAGUGUUAGGGAAUAUUUCAGCAUCUAAUUGCAAUGUUUUAGUUUUGCUAUAUCCUAGAGGUAAUUUGCAUAAAAUCCCUUUAGCAAACUCUUUCAAGUGGAUGCAAAUAAAACCUAAAGAAAAGUGUUAUACGCACUUAAAAAUCAUUGGUAUGUCAUAUUUGUUCCUCUUUUCAUCAAUACAAAUAGUAAUUUAAUUUCCUCCCCACUUAUAAUAAGGGUUCGAAUCAUUUGAGAGUACUAACACACAUAUACUAUAAUGCUUUCAUGUAGAAUUUGGGCAUAUAUUGUAUGUAGACCAUUAAAUAUUUGCUAUCAGAUAUAUCUAAUGAUCAAUACAUUUUGAUAUUGCUAAAAUGUGCAUCACCCAAAACCUUACCUUAAACUAUUAUCGUUAUGAAGCAUAGAGGUAAUCAAGAGUCAUUCCCAGAAAGAAUUUUUCCCAAUUAAUACGUUAUUUAUAUAAAACACACAAAACACACAAAUUGGCUAGCAAUGAUGAUAUAAUUAAAAACUUAUUUAUACAUAUUGAAAUUAACUCAAACUUUCUAGAUCUACUAUGAAUAUUCUAGUGAACAAGCACACAAAAUCUUACGGUGAGGGGGCAGGUGCGUGUUUGAAGUUGAUUUGCUAUAUAAACUAAACUAAAGAAUUUAAAGUAAAAAAUUUGAACUUGAUGAAAACAAUUUUAAAGAGGCUUAUAUAUGAUGUGAAAUUGAUUAAGGAAUCAUUAUCCACCACUACACAAUGGAUUUUAGACCAACUAUCAGAAUUAUCAUUCGUUACUUUUGAAAACAACCACCUUAAGAUAAUUACAAGUUCAAUUAUCUUAAAUUUUCCUUACUUAGCUUUCAAGUUAAACAAACUCUUCACUUAAUUUAUUUCUACUAAACAAUCCAUAAUAAGCUAUCUAAAUCAAUUUAAUGAAAUUAUUAAAAUAAAGAAAGAUAUAUGUUGAAUCAAAAUGCAAACAUAGAAGCUCUGUUUAUUUAUGUUGAACUAUAUUCCACAUGCAACCAAACAAAAAUAUCUAAUAAUCAUUGAUCACAGUCUACCACUUGUGUUUAGUUAUUUGGCGAUUACGGAAUUAACAAUUAAAUCAUGUAGUUGGCCACCUAAACAAACAAGAUAGAAGUUCUUGAAAUUAAAAUAAGUGAAAUAUAAAAUUCUCUAGAGAAAGAUGAAGAAAUUCUUAUUUUGAAAUUUUAUUAACUAAAAUUCAUAUCUAGAGUUUUGAAGUCAACAAUGACGAAUAGAAAGAUUACUUAUACAUGUCUAAAUUGAUGAGCAUCAAAUCUAUAAAAGAAAACUAAUAAAAGAUGAGAAAGAAAACGUUAUUAAUUGAAUUAUGGUAAAGCAACCAUGUCUUCUCUCAAAUUCACCUUCUUCUCUAUUCUUUUGUUCUUCUCUCAUUUGAAUUGAUUCUUCACGUUCUUUCUCCUUUUAGAAUGUUUAACUUGUUGUCUUUAUAUAAAGUUGCUAUCUUAAUCCUUUUAGGACUAGUAAAUACUUGUUUUUAACUUCUUUUUCAUUAUGAGAAUAUGAACUUGACACAAGAUUAUAGGUCCAAGUGGCGGAAUAGUUUAAAAUUUUGUUUAUAUUGUUGGCCCGAUUAGAAAAUCAAAAAGCCUUCAAGAAUCAAUCUUUUGGCUCAAAUCUGAUCUUCAACCUUAGAACAUUUUAAUAUAGCCAAAUAAAAGUAAAUAGAGCCUACAAGUCUGUCCAAGAAGCAAUCAUAAUACUUGAAAUCAUAAUUGUUAACAUUUAUGUAUCCAUAAUAUUGAUUUUGAUGAUAACAAACAAAAUUAAGAAUGAUUAAGUUUUUAAAAUCUCAAGCUAUU